This 465-nucleotide ribosomal RNA is filed under the name uncultured Klebsiella sp. Its description in RNAcentral is "bacterial SSU rRNA". It matches the Rfam family "Bacterial small subunit ribosomal RNA", at positions 338 to 795 of the family's 1533-position model. The record is from RNAcentral. Lineage: Bacteria; Pseudomonadati; Pseudomonadota; Gammaproteobacteria; Enterobacterales; Enterobacteriaceae.
CCUACGGGUGGCAGCAGUGGGGAAUAUUGCACAAUGGGCGCAAGCCUGAUGCAGCCAUGCCGCGUGCGUGAAGAAGGCCUUCGGGUUGUAAAGCACUUUCAGCGGGGAGGAAGGCGUUAAGGUUAAUAACCUUGGCGAUUGACGUUACCCGCAGAAGAAGCACCGGCUAACUCCGUGCCAGCAGCCGCGGUAAUACGGAGGGUGCAAGCGUUAAUCGGAAUUACUGGGCGUAAAGCGCACGCAGGCGGUCUGUCAAGUCGGAUGUGAAAUCCCCGGGCUCAACCUGGGAACUGCAUUCGAAACUGGCAGGCUAGAGGCUUGUAGAGGGGGGUAGAAUUCCAGGUGUAGCGGUGAAAUGCGUAGAGAUCUGGAGGAAUACCGGUGGCGAAGGCGGCCCCCUGGACAAAGACUGACGCUCAGGUGCGAAAGCGUGGGGAGCAAACAGGAUUAGAUACCCUUGUAGUC